This 289-nucleotide unclassified non-coding RNA is filed under the name rhizosphere metagenome. RNAcentral's name for it is "partial ribosomal RNA internal transcribed spacer region". The record is from RNAcentral.
GUAGGUGAACCUGCGGAAGGAUCAUUAAUAGAGCAAUGGAUAGACAGCGCCCCGGGAGAAAUCCUGGGGGCCACCCGACUUCGGUUGGGUUUAGAGUCGUCAGGCCUCUCGGAGAAGCCUGGUCCAGACCUCCACCCUUGAAUAAAUUACCUUUGUUGCUUUGGCAGGGCGCCUCGCGCCAGCGGCUUCGGCUGUUGAGUACCUGCCAGAGGACCACAACUCUUGUUUUUAGUGAUGUCUGAGUACUAUAUAAUAGUUAAAACUUUCAACAACGGAUCUCUUGGUUCUG